CCCUUAGAUGUCCUGGGCCGCACGCGUGCUACACUGACGCCUACAGCGAGUACUUCCCAGCCCCGAGAGGUGGCUGGUAAUCAGCAAUAGGCGUCGUGAUGGGGAUAGAUCUUUGGAAUUAUGGAUCUUGAACGAGGAAUGCCUAGUAAGCGCAGGUCAUUAGCCUGCGCUGAUUAAGUCCCUGCCCUUUGUACACACCGCCCGUCGCUCCUACCGAUUUCGAGUGGUCCGGUGAAUCUUUCGGACUGCGCGCGGCCUCGUGCCGUGUCGCGGAAAGUCAGGUAAACCUCAUCACUUAGAGGAAGGAGAAGUCGUAACA
Molecule: ribosomal RNA, 319 nt
Filed under: uncultured eukaryote
Lineage: Eukaryota
Description: partial 18S ribosomal RNA
Rfam family: Eukaryotic small subunit ribosomal RNA
Source: RNAcentral